RNAcentral lists this ribosomal RNA (326 nucleotides) under uncultured eukaryote. Its description in RNAcentral is "partial 18S ribosomal RNA". It matches the Rfam family "Eukaryotic small subunit ribosomal RNA", at positions 1470 to 1796 of the family's 1831-position model. The record is from RNAcentral.
CCCUUAGAUGUCCUGGGCCGCACGCGCGCUACACUGACAUGUUCAACAAGCCUCCUAGUUCGACAGGAUUUGGGAAAUCUUUGAACGCAUGUCGUGAUAGGGAUAGAUCAUUGCAAUUAUUGAUCUUGAACGAGGAAUUCCUAGUAAACGCGAGUCAUCAGCUCGCAUUGAUUACGUCCCUGCCCUUUGUACACACCGCCCGUCGCUACUACCGAUUGAAUGGCUUAGUGAGGUCUUCGGACUGGACUUCGGGGAGCCGGCAACGGCACCCUGUCGCUGGGAAGUUGAUCAAACUUGGUCAUUUAGAGGAAGUAAAAGUCGUAACA